This is a long non-coding RNA of Magnolia sinica, 1570 nucleotides long. RefSeq lists it as uncharacterized. The record is from RefSeq and is a predicted model, not a curated record. NCBI's taxonomy places the organism in Eukaryota, Viridiplantae, Streptophyta, Magnoliopsida, Magnoliales, Magnoliaceae. The transcript has 3 exons.
CUGAUUGAGCAUAAGAACUUGAUUCUUCUUAAUUUCUAGUUUUUGGUUGAUAUCAUCUGAAGGCAUGGUGGCAUGGGCAUUCUCAUUCCUUUGCUUCUUAGUAUACUUUUCACAAUGUUUUGAUAGUGGAUUGUUCUUCUUUCAAUCUAUUCACAUGUUUUUGUUUUUGUUUUUUAUUGAAUGGCAGGAAAAAUUUCAUUCUAGACAAAGUUUGUCUUUUAGUUGAAGUUACUGCGAGGUCCAUUCGUCGACAAAUUGCUUUUUUAAAUGAUAUUUGCGGAAGCUGUUGAUAGAUUGCAUAGGCCUGUUAUAGACAGCAGGUCUAUUCAGAAAAUAAUUACCGCCACCAAGUGAAGUCCCCAAUUGUUCAUGGAUUGUUCACAUUCCAUCAUAUCUCUACCAUCUCAAAGAUUUCAGGUAAGACCUGCACUCACUUGUUGUUGCUAUCAUUCUGCUGUACCAUUUUGAUGUUGGUCCACAUUUCAUUGUAUGAAAUCCCAACAUAGCCCCCAUUCAAACUUUAGAAGAUUUGUCAUCCUUGCACAAGUUCGGAUCUAUACUUGUACGGGUUUGAUUGAAGGAAACAGAACAGAGGCCUUAUAUGUUAUGAAAUGUAAGUAAUGUUUGACAUGUGAAACAUCUUAUUUUUCCAACUAUGUUUCUAAAUUCUUUGAAUCUCUUUUGCUCUUAUGCUUAUCAUUCUCCUUCAACAAAUAUUUUGAUUCUCAGGUUUUGAGUUGAUAUUUUGUUUUCUGUGCUUAGUAAUCUAAUUUAUUCAUCAAUAUGUUUUAUUUAUUAAAGUUAGGAUAAGGCUUAGAUGAUGAUGAUGACUAUGGAUAUGUUUUCUUUAUUGUACUUUUUUUUUUUACUACAAAUCAUUUAUUCACAAACAUAAUAAUUAGUAGAGUUGAUAUGGUUUGAUGUUAAUUUCAAACUUUACUAGGUGACUAGUUGGCAACUUUGAUCUUUGAGUUGGUGGGUGCAAGAAAAAUAACUUCAUGCAGUUUUUUGGUUUAUCUCUAAUUGAAUUUCAGAUAUUGAUCAAGUUGGAGGAUAAUAGCCUGGUUGAAACUGUAGGGAUACCAAUUGAAGAUAAUAAAGGUUUUUAUCGCCUCACUGCUUGUAUAUCUUCACAGGAUUUCGCACUGGAUGAUCCCUUCAUUUUGUCUUGUUGUCCUUGGCUUUUCCUUGAAUUUUUGCAGUAAGAUAAGACAUCUUCUAUUGUUUUGGUUCUUUCAGUUGAUUGUUUAACACAAGUUGACAGUAUGCUUGGUAUUUCCUUGAUAUAGGAAUGCAUGUGAAUAAGGUCCUCUACACUUUCAGUUACAUAUGUGUCACCGCUGGUGCAGCUGGCAUUCUCUUUGCUGGAACUUAUGUUCUGAAAUAGCAGAUGAUGAGAGUAUUCGUGUGUUGGAAGUACCUAGCUGGUGCGUGAAGGCAAUAUGACGUUAAAAGAUUUCUUCACCCCAACUGAGAUGAAAGAUGGACUCACAAACCUUGCUAGAGUCGAAGACCUGGUUGUUGUUAUGCAGAGGCAGAGAGAAAAUAUUAUGAAGAAUGUAGUUAAUGC